This 494-nucleotide ribosomal RNA is filed under the name uncultured bacterium. RNAcentral's name for it is "partial 16S ribosomal RNA". It matches the Rfam family "Bacterial small subunit ribosomal RNA", at positions 29 to 507 of the family's 1533-position model. The record is from RNAcentral.
ACGAACGCUGGCGGCGUGCCUAAUACAUGCCAGUAGAACGCUGAAGGAGGAGCUUGCUUCUCUGGAUGAGUUGCGAACGGGUGAGUAACGCGUAGGUAACCUGCCUGGUAGCGGGGGAUAACUAUUGGAAACGAUAGCUAAUACCGCAUAAGAGUAGAUGUUGCAUGACAUUUGCUUAAAAGGUGCAAUUGCAUCACUACCAGAUGGACCUGCGUUGUAUUAGCUAGUUGGUGGGGUAACGGCUCACCAAGGCGACGAUACAUAGCCGACCUGAGAGGGUGAUCGGCCACACUGGGACUGAGACACGGCCCAGACUCCUACGGGAGGCAGCAGUAGGGAAUCUUCGGCAAUGGACGGAAGUCUGACCGAGCAACGCCGCGUGAGUGAAGAAGGUUUUCGGAUCGUAAAGCUCUGUUGUAAGAGAAGAACGAGUGUGAGAGUGGAAAGUUCACACUGUGACGGUAUCUUACCAGAAAGGGACGGCUAACUACGUG